Molecule: ribosomal RNA, 1170 nt
Filed under: Triticum aestivum (bread wheat)
Lineage: Eukaryota; Viridiplantae; Streptophyta; Magnoliopsida; Poales; Poaceae
Description: partial small subunit ribosomal RNA
Source: RNAcentral
CAGGCGGCCAGUCUCCUGACGGACGACCUUAUCUUGGAGAUCCUCUCCCGCCUUCCGGCCAGGUCCGUCCACCGCUUCAAGUGCGUCUCCCCGGCCUGGCGCAACCUCAUCGCCGACCCCGCCCACCGCAAGAAGCUACCCCAUCCCCUCGCCGAUUUCCUGUACAACACCUACCACAGGCCGGACCCCCGCUUCUACAACUUCCACUUCGCCAAAGUCUCCGGCACCGCAGCCCCGCCGGUGGACAUGUCCCUCUCUUUCUUGACACCCGACGAGUAUUGGUAUGUCGACCAGCUAGACACCUGCAAUGGCCUCCUCCUCUGCGGCGCCCACAUGUUCCCUUUGUCUCCUUCCGGGGACAAGAAUACGCCGGUUGAAUCCCAUUACAUCGUGUGCAAUCCGGCCACCGGGAGGUGGGUCGACCUCCCCCCUCACCCCGAGGUGCCACCCGGCGGUCGCAUCUUCGCUCGCUUGUCUUUUGAUUCAGCAGUCUCGUCCCAUUUCCACGUUCUUCAGUUUAAGAACAGCCAGCAGAAGGAAUACGUCAUAGGAGUGAACAUCUACUCUUCUCAAACCGGGGCAUGGAUUUGUAGAGAAAGCCACUUGGCUGAGAAAAUUAGCCUGUUCACUGGCCUCGCAAGUGUCUUCUUUCACGGUAUGCUGCACUUGCUUGGUUUAUUGUAUCCCAUGAACAUGGAGGAUGAUGCUGUGCUGGUAGCCGUGGACAUGGAAGGCCAGGUGUGGAACACUAUCCGUGUGCCGUCUGGUGGUUUGAGUUUCGGUAGAAUUGGAUUGUCAAAGGGGUGUUUGCACUAUGCUACCACACCGCUAGCUACUGAUGACAAGAAGAAGAAGAAGAGGAAGAAGAAAAAGGAGGAUACAUCGACAGUCUGGUGCAUGAAGGAUUAUGAUAGUAAAGAAUGGGUCUUGAAGCAUAGUGUCAGCAACGAUGAGCAUUGGAACAUAACUGGUGUGGACUACAAAGUGGCUGCUUUUCAUCCAGACCGUGACACCUUUUUGGAUUCAUAUGAUGUUGAUACAUUGGUAUCAUACGAUAUGCAGCAUCAGAAAUUCCAUCAAAUCCGUAUUCUUCGGGAAAAUAGGGAAACACUAUUUGUACCCUAUGUUCCAUUGUUCUUAGACUCAUUUGCAGGUGCAGAUGGACAGUAG